RNAcentral lists this long non-coding RNA (1094 nucleotides) under Struthio camelus australis. RNAcentral's name for it is "lncRNA (ENSSCUG00000005963.1)". The record is from RNAcentral. Lineage: Eukaryota; Metazoa; Chordata; Aves; Struthioniformes; Struthionidae.
UUCACUCUGGCCUUUCCUCUGGAUAAGCUUGCUCCAAAGAGAGCCUGGAAGCACGGCUGAAGCAUGGGCCAGAGGAAACUAUCUGGAGGCAAAACAUUACUCUGUGGUUGCCUCAGGUUUGUGGGCAAAAUGCAAAAAAUACUCUGGGAUUUUCUUCAGACUCGGUAAGAACCCCUGUAUGAAAUUGUGGUCUCAGAAGGCCACCAGCCCAGCCGAGCUCUGCUGGUUCAAGGGCUUUGCUCCCAAUCUCCCUUGAACGAGGCUUUUAGGUGGUAUCUCUAGGGGCAAUGACUGAGCGAUCUUGGGAGGCGACACCAGACGCAGGAGAGCAGAACGGGCCCCUGGAGGCCAGCAUGACUUCACAGCGGUGACACUGGGGACCUUGAAUUUGCUCCUGGACAGGCAAUGACAGAACUGGGGCCAAAGCCCCUGAUCUGGUCUCUAUUCAUUAAGCAGUGGCUGAAAUGCCCGUGUCUCUUUCGAGGCACAGAAUGGGAAUUCCUUGUGAUGAAGGAUUCCCAGUCUGCAACACUGGACUGAUAUGGACUCAAAAACACCCCUGUGAGUUUUUCCACCUUCCCAUCACUCCCAUCUUUGUCAUCUCCUCCCCGACUGUGCAGCAUGGGGUCUGCAGGAUCUCUGCAGUUUGGACAUGUGGAGAAGGAUGCUUUCUUCUCCUGCCCCACCAAACUCAGCCGUCGCGUCUCGGCGCUCCUGCUCCGUGCAUGUCCCAGAGCUGCCUUCCUGCCAGCCAGCGACGGGGGACCAGGAUCGCUGAGAAGUGGAGCAUGUCAUCAGCAAGCUGUUAAUGCCGGAGCCCUCGGGGUGGGCAGGAUGGGCACCACGGUCCUGAGCGCCGCCGGGCUGUGCCAGCCCUGCCGUUCCCACGCCGGGGCCAAACCUCCUUCUCCCCCUUCUCCAUCCCAUCUCUGAGGUUAUCUCAGCUGCUCCCAGGGUAGGAAACAACGAAACCGCUUCCCUUGCACAGGACGAACUCGCCCAGGCGCAUCCGGAGCAGCACUGCAGCCCUUAUAUGACUGUAAGUUUAGGGGAGAGGGGGAAAAGGAGUGAUUUAUCUGUAUAGCUGGGAUUUU